This 655-nucleotide long non-coding RNA is filed under the name Homo sapiens (human). RNAcentral's name for it is "HSALNT0290927". Lineage: Eukaryota; Metazoa; Chordata; Mammalia; Primates; Hominidae. The record is from RNAcentral.
AGGGUAUUUAUAGCCUGGAGCGUGAGGGGGCAAGGACACGCGCUUUAUUUCGGAAGUGAUAAUUCCAGCUCCAGUGUCCACCAGGCCCUCCUUGGAAGAAGCCACAAGUAAGCAUCAGGACACCCUUCACCUCAUGAAAAGCCACAGCAGAAGCCAACCAGGCUGUCUGGCCCAGGCAGCUGCCCGGCACUUCGGAGAAACUGAGGCUCAAACCACUCCAGAGAUGACAAGUCCUGUCACCUUCAGGGAGGCGGAGGCCAAAGACAAAACUUGAAGGAAGAAAGAAGAUACUUGGACUCCAGGAAAUGAUCACCGUGGAAACCCAUCUGCUGCUUCUUGUCUACGGCUGUUUGUUCCUCCAGCUCUGGGCUGCCUGAGUGUCUCACAGCAGAAUUAGCAAGUGCGGAGGCUGAAGGUUUCUAGAGGCUCUGAGGUCACAGCUCUCGCUUGAGUGCACAUAACUAUAAGCCAUGAUGAGGAAACUGAGGCUUAGAGAGGUUAAAUGACAUGACCAAAGUGUCAACAGCUAACAGGCAGGAAAGCCAGGACUCAAAUCCGGCAGCCUGUUUCCAGAGUCCACGCUUGGAACCACGGAGCUGUAUUUCUUAACAAAGAAAUCUCACUCUGUCGCCCAGGCUAGAGUGCAAUGGCGCAA